Molecule: long non-coding RNA, 1923 nt
Organism: Homarus americanus (American lobster)
Lineage: Eukaryota; Metazoa; Arthropoda; Malacostraca; Decapoda; Nephropidae
Exons: 3
Source: RefSeq, a predicted model, not a curated record
ACCACCUCUCCCCAGUCACUCACCAGUCAACACCCAGGCAUUACGAUGAACCAGCAACACCAGCCUACUCACUCAUCCAGUCAGUCACUCAGCCAGUCAAUGGAUCAGAAAACCGUCACAAGCUAAUGAAAGUAGUGGAAGAACGCCAUCCAGUCACCUCAUCCAGCAUCUCAUCCAGUCACCUCACACACACGUCAACCUCUGCCAACAGGUGUGGAGGUAAACCUGGUAGUACUGCAGGUGUGGGGAUGACACUGGUGGUACUGCAGGUGUGGAGAUGACGCUGAUGGUACUACAGGUGUGGAGAUGAUGCUGAUGGUACUACAGGUGUGGAGAUGAUGCUGAUGGUACUACAGGUGUGGAGAUGACCUGAUGGUACUACAGGUGUGGGGAUGACACCGGUGAUAACUUCAUUUAUAACUACACUUCUAUUACACCCUUCAGUCUUGUACCUAACACCACUUCAGACAUUCAUUUAUUUCAUUGUAUUUCGGUGUUGAUGUCUUGUGUUUUUCUUAUGAGAGAAAAUAUGCGUGACAGAGGUAUUAAUAUGACGAUGGUUUUAAUAUUCAGCAUAAAUGUUCCUAUAUUACUUUUCAUUUCGUGGAAUGGAAUGAAAACUAUCACAGAUGAGUUCUUUCACAAUUUCAUAAUCUUUUUUUUUUAUACCAUUGUGUUAGAAAUAUCCAGGGAAUAAUUGUAGUAAGAACGAUCCAUCAUUAAGGUUGAAUGUUACCUUUAGAUUGGUGUAUACAUAAACCUAAAAUUAUCUUUUGUGUUAGACAAUAUGACACAGCGGACGAAGGAUUUUGACAACCCUACUGAGACAACAGGAGUCACAGUGUUCAUUUUAACAUUUAUCGGACCCCUCCAUUAAGACACUUGUUUGACUGUGUGUACAUUAUAUAUUUUUUUAUAAACCCACUAACUUUAAAAUCACUACAACUUCAUUUUCUUACAAUAAUUUUAGCUUAUAUUUCCAUAGAUUGAUCGUAAUAUUUUCACGAUAAUAUUCUGUCUACAAAAAUAUUUAUUCUAGAUUUCUUUGUGUUCCUGAUUGCUCUUCACACACACACACACACACACACACACACACACACACACACGUAUAUUUAUCAUGACCAAACCCUUCAUUAUAAUUCUCAACCAUUGAAAAAUACUCUAAUCUUAAACAUUCACUUUAGUACACAUAGCUAGACAUCUGUGCUUCUGUUCACUGUUCGAGACAUAAACCAUUGUAUCAGGGAUUCUGUGAGUGUAUGUCUUGUUUAUGGAAGUGUAUCUACGACUCACUCAUACAUUCUUAUCUCUGUCGUUUCUUCAAGACUAUAUGUUUCUGAUGGAAUAUUUCCCGUACAGACCCAUAUUUCCUGUGAGACUCCCUGUGCUGCUGGUUCUAUUCGUUCUAACUGUACAGGUAGAUUUAAUUUCUUCUUCAUUUAGCCCAUCAGGUUAAUAGAAGCACUAAGUUUUAACAGUUGUAAUCACUCGCCUUCUUUGUUACUUUAGUUAAUCUCUCGUCUUCAAUACAAGUUUACGUUUGUAUAGUUUAAUAGUCUUCAUGUGCCAGUCACUUUCUGCCACGAAUUUAUUGUUCAUUGUUGGUAUUUCACAAUUAUUUCUUGCUCUUGCGUACGUACAAUUUAAAUAUGUUGUGAUGCUUUGACUAUGACCUGCCACGUAUCAUUCAACACUGAUUAUAAACAAGAACAAUAUUAUUUCAUCAAAGUGACGACAAAGUUUAAGAUGUUGUACAAUAAGUGAGUCAGUUAUGUGUUCAUUGAUAUUCGUUUCGUGUCCAACACCACUGUCGUAUAAAAAAGUGUCCUGUACAGUAGCUAAAACAACUAUCUGUGCAGGUGGGGGUCGAUUUGCUCCGAAAUUUUACGUGUGACUAGUGACAGCCCUCACAUACCAAUAUUU